This 1566-nucleotide long non-coding RNA is filed under the name Rattus norvegicus (Norway rat). RNAcentral's name for it is "long non-coding RNA NONRATT007564". Lineage: Eukaryota; Metazoa; Chordata; Mammalia; Rodentia; Muridae. The record is from RNAcentral.
UGCCCAGCAAGGGCUGUAUGUGGGCGCGUGUCGCCGGGGCGCGGCUGCGGAUUUUGUGCUAUGCGGGCAUUUGUGGCGAAGAUUAUGCUUGCUGGCCAGAGGUCCCAGUAGGAAAAGCUCCUAGCAUGAAAUUCCCGGGACGCCUGCGCUUUCCGCUUUGUAAGCUGUCUGGUGUGUGCUACUCCGCUGUUUGGAGCCUGAGUUGUAAUUGGGGAAAAUGGAUUUAAUCUGAAGGACCGGUUGGCGAGGACUAGAACGCACCACGCUUGCAAAGCGCUUUGCACAAGGGAGCCCUGGAGGCUGAAUCUGGCAGGCACAGUAAAUCCACUGGGCAGCCUGAAGACCCCGGUGGAGGUGGAACUGGCCCAGCGUCGGAAUGCAGGCACUCCACCUUCAGCACCGCAACCCGCGCAGCUACCGGGUCAAGGCCAGGGCAUCCUAUGUGGAUGAGACCCUGUUUGGCAGCCCAACAGGAACCCGGCCAACUCUACCAGACUUUGACCCACCCUGGGUGCAGAAUUGUAACAGAUCUAGAGGAGUGAGCCCAGGACCCCCGAAGGUCUCUCUGGCCAAGAGAGACUGUGAGUCUCCCUCCUCCAGGGGCAGCACCCCAAAUCUCACACCAAGGAAGAAAAACAAAUACAGGUUGAUUGGCCACACCCCAUCCUACUGUGAUGAGUCACUGUUUGGCUCCCGGCCACAGGGCACCAGCAAGGAGAGGUCUCGGACAGCCGUGGAGGAUGCGGCCAAGCUCCGGACCCUUUUCUGGACCCCACCAGCCACCCCUAGGGGCAGCCACUCACCUCGCCCCAGGGAGACCCCACUUCGGGCCAUUCACCCAACUGGACCUCCCAGGACAGAGCCCAGAGUGGCCACAGGCUCCCAGAUGGUGUCCCGGGAUGGGCUGGAUGCUCCCCGCUCUCUGGGACAGAGGCGUUCCUAUUCACUCACCCACCUAGCUGUCCCCAGCACGGGUCAUCCAGCUUCCACUGCCCCCCAGACCAAUGGGCCUUGGAGUCCCCGGCCUUACACAUCAGGGGCGACUGUCCAGAGUCCCCUAGUCACUCGCAAGGUAUGCUCAGGCAGUGUUUCGGGGCCAACUACCCCUCAGCGAGGGGCCUGCCCCCAAAAGCCAAAGCCUCCUUGGAAAUGACAUUCUUACCAGGUAAGCCUUUGGCUCAAAGCCAGGACUCAAGCUCAGGUGUGGUCCUCUGGAGACAAUGGUCCCCAGGGCCUCCAAAUGCUGGAGAAGCCUCCACGGGGCUCCAUGGUAAGGAUGGGCCAUAUUUUCCCUAGUCCCCACAAGCUCAGGAUGUCCCCAGCCUUCUCUGCAGGGUAUUUGGGGUCCUUGAGAUAGAUGUCUCUGUAGCCAUGUGUCAGCCUCCCGGCUUCUGCGUUGGUGCCAAGCCCCACCCGGUUCCCUACAAAGGGUUCAGUUUCCACAGGGGUCUGAAGGUCUUAAGGGGUCCUGGGCUGUGUGUGGACCCCAGGGGUGGGACCCGGGGAGACAUUAUUUUAAUAUUCAUGUAUUUAUUCCACGUAUUAAAUGUAUUUGGAUCGCCAAAA